Molecule: long non-coding RNA, 521 nt
Organism: Hyla sarda
Lineage: Eukaryota; Metazoa; Chordata; Amphibia; Anura; Hylidae
Exons: 4
Source: RefSeq, a predicted model, not a curated record
CUGCAGUUCACACCGUGACCAGGGAAGACUUAUCUAAUGGGCAAAGUGCGCAUUUGCCAAGUACCCACUGUUUAAAGGAGCCAACUUCUGCCAUAAAGUGGCUAAAUUGUUGCCUCAGAAGGUUCCCCUUAACGUUUUCCGGAAUACCUUGUGCACUCCUGAAAGGGAUGUCCUUGUGUCAGAGACUGGGAGAUAAAUUUUACGUUUGAAGAGGACCCAGGGUGUUGGUGGGGGAAUACACAUCCAGUGUGACCCCCACUCAUACCGGACAAGGCUGGACAAGGCUAAUAAUACGAACACUAGUGAAAGGGUUAAGAAGUUACAUGAAAUCUACAAGGAGCCAUAGUUUCACCAGAACAACUCAAUAAUUAGUGUCCCUGAGCACUGUAACAUACUAACUCUGCAGAAUAGUUUCCUUCAAUAAACAGUCUAAAAUAUUAAGUACAGUUCCUGUGAAAUCAGGAGAGCAAUAACCAGAAAAAAAAUGGAGGUACCCUUUAAGAACAUCCAUACAGAUGCAC